UACGGAGGGGGCUAGCGUUGUUCGGAAUUACUGGGCGUAAAGCGCGCGUAGGCGGUUUUCCAAGUCAGAGGUGAAAGCCCGGGGCUCAACUCCGGAAUUGCCUUUGAAACUGGGAAACUUGAACACGGGAGAGGUGAGUGGAAUUCCGAGUGUAGAGGUGAAAUUCGUAGAUAUUCGGAGGAACACCAGUGGCGAAGGCGGCUCACUGGACCGUUGUUGACGCUGAGGUGCGAAAGCGUGGGGAGCAAACAGG
RNAcentral lists this ribosomal RNA (253 nucleotides) under uncultured bacterium. Its description in RNAcentral is "partial 16S ribosomal RNA". It matches the Rfam family "Bacterial small subunit ribosomal RNA", at positions 524 to 776 of the family's 1533-position model. The record is from RNAcentral.